UGAACCGUUCUUCAGAUCGUAUGAAAACCCUUGCUAAAACUGCUGCAUUAGAUAUUCUGACUGAUAAAUGGCAUGAAAAACCUCUCAAUGAUAAAUACCCAAAGGGAGCUAAUAAUGCCAAUGUUGACAAAGGCCUUACCCCUCAAUGGUUAGUGUCUUCUGGCUUAAAAUCA
Long non-coding RNA from Octopus sinensis (East Asian common octopus), 173 nucleotides. RefSeq lists it as uncharacterized. NCBI's taxonomy places the organism in Eukaryota, Metazoa, Mollusca, Cephalopoda, Octopoda, Octopodidae. The transcript has 3 exons. The record is from RefSeq and is a predicted model, not a curated record.